Molecule: ribosomal RNA, 468 nt
Filed under: uncultured bacterium
Lineage: Bacteria
Description: partial 16S ribosomal RNA
Rfam family: Bacterial small subunit ribosomal RNA
Source: RNAcentral
GACGAACGCUGGCGGCGUGCUUAACACAUGCAAGUCGAACGGAAAGGCCCUGCUUUUGUGGGGUGCUCGAGUGGCGAACGGGUGAGUAACACGUGAGUAACCUGCCCUUGACUUUGGGAUAACUUCAGGAAACUGGGGCUAAUACCGGAUAGGAGCUCCUGCUGCAUGGGGGGGGUUGGAAAGUUUCGGCGGUGGGGGAUGGACUCGCGGCUUAUCAGCUUGUUUGUGGGGUAGUGGAUUACCAAGGCUUUGACGGGUAGCCGGCCUGAGAGGGUGACCGGCCACAUUGGGACUGAGAUACGGCCCAGACUCCUACGGGAGCCAGCAGUGGGGAAUAUUGCACAAGGGGCGGAAGCCUGAUGCAGCAACGCCGCGUGCGGGAUGACGGCCUUCGGGUUGUAAACCGCUUUCGCCUGUGACGAAGCGUGAGUGACGGUAAUGGGUAAAGAAGCACCGGCUAACUACGUG